UAGGGAAUCUUCGGCAAUGGGGGCAACCCUGACCGAGCAACGCCGCGUGAGUGAAGAAGGUUUUCGGAUCGUAAAGCUCUGUUGUAAGUCAAGAACGAGUGUGAGAGUGGAAAGUUCACACUGUGACGGUAGCUUACCAGAAAGGGACGGCUAACUACGUG
RNAcentral lists this ribosomal RNA (161 nucleotides) under uncultured bacterium. RNAcentral's name for it is "partial 16S ribosomal RNA". It matches the Rfam family "Bacterial small subunit ribosomal RNA", at positions 355 to 507 of the family's 1533-position model. The record is from RNAcentral. RNAcentral also lists the same sequence under 1 other name.